RNAcentral lists this ribosomal RNA (576 nucleotides) under Mycobacterium sp. 01-628. RNAcentral describes it as "bacterial SSU rRNA". It matches the Rfam family "Bacterial small subunit ribosomal RNA", at positions 8 to 586 of the family's 1533-position model. The record is from RNAcentral. Lineage: Bacteria; Bacillati; Actinomycetota; Actinomycetes; Mycobacteriales; Mycobacteriaceae.
AGAGUUUGAUCCUGGCUCAGGACGAACGCUGGCGGCGUGCUUAACACAUGCAAGUCGAACGGAAAGGCCCUGCUUGCAGGGUGCUCGAGUGGCGAACGGGUGAGUAACACGUGGGUGAUCUGCCCUGCACUUCGGGAUAAGCUUGGGAAACUGGGUCUAAUACCGGAUAGGACCACAUGCUGCAUGGUGUGUGGUGGAAAGCUUUUUGCGGUGUGGGAUGGGCCCGCGGCCUAUCAGCUUGUUGGUGGGGUGAUGGCCUACCAAGGCGACGACGGGUAGCCGGCCUGAGAGGGUGUCCGGCCACACUGGGACUGAGAUACGGCCCAGACUCCUACGGGAGGCAGCAGUGGGGAAUAUUGCACAAUGGGCGCAAGCCUGAUGCAGCGACGCCGCGUGGGGGAUGACGGCCUUCGGGUUGUAAACCUCUUUCACCAUCGACGAAGGCCCGCGUUUGUGGGUUGACGGUAGGUGGAGAAGAAGCACCGGCCAACUACGUGCCAGCAGCCGCGGUAAUACGUAGGGUGCGAGCGUUGUCCGGAAUUACUGGGCGUAAAGAGCUCGUAGGUGGUUUGUCGC